CAAGUGCUCAGAGUCACACAGGCCAAGGCAGUGGUAGAAGGACAAGUGAAAUUCCUGCAACGAGAGCUGGAAGCAGAGGGAGCUCUCAGGAGGAAGGAACAGGAAGAGAGAGCUCAGCAGCUCAUGCAGGCAGAGCAGAAGCAUAAGGAAAGCCUCAGGCUUCAGGGAACACCUCAGCAAGUACAAGUAAACAAGCUCCUGCACGACCUGGUAGGGGACAAUAUGCUUCUGAAUUGUCCGAGCUGGGCCUGUGGGAAGGUUUAGCUCAAGCAGAACCUGAGAGUGAGAAAGGGCAGCAAUCCUCUGCCAGAGGCCUCUUGCUGCUGGGCUGGGCAGCAGAGUCAGCAUCUCAGACUUGGAGGUGUGUGAAGCCUCCCCAGGCUGGUGCUGGGACAGCAAAUGCAGCCAUGGCUCCAGUGAGGGCGUAAGAGGAGUUCCAGAGCAGGUUGGGCAGUGCCCACCCAAAGUGUGACAGCCCAGGGCAGGAUCAUCCCUGAGUCUCUCCUGCCACGGAGCAGAUGCCAUCAUGCAGCAGAUGCCAACAUGGAGCAGAUGCCAACAUGGAGCAGAUGCCAUCAGUGCUUCUGGCUGCAGGAGCGGGAACUUGGGUCCUUUCUUGCUGUGCUUCCAUGAUUGACACAGGGAUUAGGUUUGGGCUGGAAGCCAAUGGAACAGGCCCCUGGUCCUUCAGUGCUUGUGGCUGGGGCAUCAGGGAGGGGAAGGUGACACCUCCUUUUGUGAGUGCUUGGGCUCAAUGCUUGUGAAGGCUUUUCCCAACAGAAAUGAUUCCAUGAGGCUGUGAUUCUUGCAGCUGCUGAGCCUCCUCUUAAAUUCCCAGGCAGGACAUGGUUUCUGGAGUGCAGAAAGCCAGUGCUGUUGUCUUUUCAGGUUGGGGUUUGUGGGAUGGAUGAAGCUUCACAUCUUUCAGCAAGGAGCUUGCUGGGACUUCAUCUUGCAAAUUUCUCCUCCCCUCCUCAGGCAAGUGAACGUGAAAGGCACCGUGCUAAGAUGCUGGAACAAUGGCAAGAAGAGAAGGCAAAGAGAGAGCGGGAACACGAGAAGGUGCUGCUUGAGCUGAGGCAGAAAGUUGCCACCCUGCAGGCCCAACAACAAGACGAACAAACUAGAUUUGAAAAAGCCAAGCGACAGGUGCUGCAGGAAGAGCAGAAUGAGAAGAGGGCUUUAACAGAGACACUGCUCCAAACUCGGGGACAGCUCAGCCAAGUGUGCCAGCAGGUCCAGCAGCUCAGGCAGGAGGUGAAAGAGCAGCAAGAGAAGGGACAGACCAUCAAGGCAAAGCUGCAAGCUGAGCUGCAGGAAGCUCACAAUGAAAUGCUGGCAGUGCAGAGGAGGCACAAGGAAGAACUUCAGGGCAUCAGAGAGAGGAGAUGAAUGUCCUCCUUGAGCAGAGGGAUGCUCUACAAAAGCAGGUGGAAGAGUUGACAUCUCAGCUGGCAGCCUCCCGAGAGUUCCUGGAAAGCAGAGUCCAGAGAGCCCAGCAAUAUGUGAGCGAGGCCCAGGCACAGUCAAGGCAGAAGCAAUUGGAGGCUGAACACAUCCAGAAGAGGCUGGAGGAGGCAGAACAUCAGAAGAAGGAGCUCCAAGUGAAGCUGCAGAAACUGGAGAGGGAAUGGAGUGAAUGCAAAGAAGUGGCACUGGAAAAUUUUGAAUUGCAGGCUUCCGUGAAUGUCCUAGAGAGGGAAAGAGACAGGUAAAUGAAAGCCUGUGGGACUCUGCAAUGUGGUGAAUGCAUUCCCUCUUUGCCAUCUUUGCACCUACCUGGGGCUCUGGCAGCAUUUCCUAAGUGGCAGAUUCUGAACUCUCCAUGAAGACACAUCUCAUUAUCUGUAUGUUGUGUUCAUUCUCUAAUAUUUUAAGCCUUCACUUGGAGUUUUUCUGAAGACAAAGGCUUUUGGGGUAGCUCUUUCCCUCUAGGGAGUGUUGUGCUGUUAGGUUAGGUUAGGUUAGGUUAGGUUAGGUUAGGUUAGGUUAGGUUAGGUUAGGGUGUGUUAACAGUGCUGGAGCUGCAGUGUAAGGAGCUGGAUACAUCCAUCAGCUCCACCUUGGCUGCUGUAACUUGAAGCCUUUGGGAUCUGAUCAGCCUGGCAUCUGAUGCCUUUGCUGGGCAGAACCUUCUUAAGGCCCUGAGUGCUGAUCAAGCCCAGAUUGCCCUGGGAGGCACCCA
This is a long non-coding RNA of Cyanistes caeruleus (blue tit), 2185 nucleotides long. The record is from Ensembl. NCBI's taxonomy places the organism in Eukaryota, Metazoa, Chordata, Aves, Passeriformes, Paridae.